AGAGCGCGGCGAAAUGCGAUAAGUAAUGUGAAUUGCAGAAUUCAGUGAAUCAUCGAAUCUUUGAACGCACAUUGCGCCCGCCAGCAUUCUGGCGGGCAUGCCUGUUCGAGCGUCAUUUCAACCCUCAAGCUCUGCUUGGCGUUGGGGCCCUACGGCUGACGUAGGCCCUCAAAGGUAGUGGCGGACCCUCUCGGAGCCUCCUUUGCGUAGUAACUUACUGUCUCGCACUGGGAUCCGGAGGGGCUUCUGGCCGUAAAACCCCCAAACUUUCCAAAGGUUGACCUCGGAUCAGGUAGGAAUACCCGCUGAACUUAAGCAUAUCAAUAAGCGGAGGAAAAGAAACCAACAGGGAUUGCCCCAGUAACGGCGAGUGAAGCGGCAACAGCUCAAAUUUGAAAUCUGGCCCCCCCGGGGCCCGAGUUGUAAUUUGCAGAGGAUGCUUUUGGCGCGGUGCCUUCUAAGUUCCCUGGAACGGGACGCCAUAGAGGGUGAGAGACCCGUACGGUUGGACACCAAGCCUUUGUAAAGCUCCUUCGACGAGUCGAGUAGUUUGGGAAUGCUGCUCUAAAUGGGAGGUAUAUUUCUUCUAAAGCUAAAUACCGGCCAGAGACCGAUAGCGCACAAGUAGAGUGAUCGAAAGAUGAAAAGCACUUUGAAAAGAGGGUUAAACAGCACGUGAAAUUGUUAAAAGGGAAGCGCUUGUGACCAGACUUGCGCCCGGUGAAUCACCCAGCUCUCGCGGCUGGGGCACUUCGCCGGCUCAGGCCAGCAUCAGCUCGCCGUCGGGGCCAAAAGCUUCGGGAACGUGGCUCUCUUCGGGGAGUGUUAUAGCCCGUUGCACAAUACCCUUCGGCGGGCUGAGGUACGCGCUCCGCAAGGAUGCUGGCGUAAUGGUCAUCAGCGACCCGUCU
Molecule: ribosomal RNA, 911 nt
Filed under: uncultured Hypocreales
Lineage: Eukaryota; Fungi; Ascomycota; Sordariomycetes; Hypocreales
Description: eukaryotic LSU rRNA
Rfam family: Eukaryotic large subunit ribosomal RNA (bases 279-911)
Source: RNAcentral